AAUUUUACAUAUAUAGUACCAAGGCUUCCAAAUAAUUCUAUAUGAACUGCUGCUGCAACUUCAAUUCAUUUCUAAAACUUUAGCCGCUACAACUUAAACUAAAUAAUAAAAACGUAUGAAAAUAUAUAAUGUGAGAUGGAAAUGAAAAUGAAGCAAAGCUUAUAGGGUGUGAUUGGAUGCUGCCAGCAGAACCCAAUCAUCUCUGCCUUUCCAUUCAGUGAAGCAAAUUAAAAACCAUGCAUAA
Ipomoea nil (Japanese morning glory) is the source of this 244-nucleotide long non-coding RNA. RefSeq lists it as uncharacterized. Lineage: Eukaryota; Viridiplantae; Streptophyta; Magnoliopsida; Solanales; Convolvulaceae. The record is from RefSeq and is a predicted model, not a curated record. The transcript is spliced from 3 exons.